Long non-coding RNA from Balaenoptera musculus (blue whale), 854 nucleotides. RefSeq lists it as uncharacterized. The transcript has 3 exons. The record is from RefSeq and is a predicted model, not a curated record. NCBI's taxonomy places the organism in Eukaryota, Metazoa, Chordata, Mammalia, Artiodactyla, Balaenopteridae.
UCCUCUCUGGACAGGCGGCGGGUGCGGAGUCAUGGAUUCGGCUUCGUGCGGAUUGCUGGCUUCACCUGGCGUGUGACGAGCCGUGGGAUUCAGCUCUGUGGAAAACACAAAGCAAGCCUGGGAGAGUGGUGAACAGAUGGAUGAGGGACAAAAUCAUGUCCGUUUCUCAACCCUGAGAACUGCCCAAGGUGACUCUACUUCUCGCUCUCCUUCAGUAACCUCAAAUCUGCAGAUUCAACAAAACUGAGAUGUUGGGAUUCUGGGCAAUCAACAAUGGCCACUCAAAAGACCUGCUAUGUUACACUAGCCUCCCAGCAUGUAUGCUUCAAAUACUAAAAUUAAAGUGCUAUAUGGUUGUGUUGUAUCUGGUCCCUUAGGAUUAGUUGUGAAUAAAGUCAAUCACAAACUCAAUUAUAUGUAAUGAUUUCAUAUAAAGUAGUUUAACAUUAAAUACCUCAGUUCUUUUACUACUAAUCAAAUGAGUAAAAAUAUGAACAUUUAAAUGAACUAAAGGGAGAUGGUGAUUUGUCAGUUGAGGUAUUUGAAAAGCCCCACUUGUUUGAAACACAUGUGAACAGUUACAACUCUUUCUUGACCAAUACAGUACUCUCUACUAUACUUUAACUUUUAUGUAUGACUCAGAACAGGAAGUUGUUGGUUGGAAAGCUACUACUUGUCUCUCUAAAUCCCUUCUGUAAGCAAUAAAGUAACAGUGAUAGAUAUAUGAUAAAACUAGCAUAGUAAAAUGUUAAUGGUAGAACCUAGGUAGUGGAUAUACUGAUAUCUACUGUAAAAUUCUUUCAACUUUGCUGUAUCCUGGAAAUCUUUCAUAAUAAAAUAUUGGGGAAAAAUUC